This 730-nucleotide unclassified non-coding RNA is filed under the name Eufriesea mexicana. RNAcentral's name for it is "ubiquitin-conjugating enzyme E2 variant 2, transcript variant X2". Lineage: Eukaryota; Metazoa; Arthropoda; Insecta; Hymenoptera; Apidae. The record is from RNAcentral.
AGACAACCUCACGGAGGUUGGCUGAAUUUUCGCAAAGUGAAUUUCACUUAAAUAUUAGAUAUUAUUUUCUUCGUUUCAGCUUUGGGUGAUGAAAGAUUUGCAUUAUAGUUAAAUCGCAUAUUCUAAAAGUGCUUUAUCUUGGAAUAUAUUAUUUGGUGUUAUUUGCUAUUCUUUAGAAAAAUAUACAGCGCUUCGCAAAAAUAAGAUAUCAUGGCGGUACCCACUACCGGUGUAGUUGUGCCUCGAAACUUUCGUUUAUUAGAAGAAUUAGAACAAGGUCAAAAAGGUGUAGGUGAUGGUACAAUCAGUUGGGGUUUGGAAAACGAUGAUGACAUGACUCUUACACAUUGGACUGGAAUGAUAAUUGGACCACCUAGAACACCAUAUGAAAAUAGAAUGUAUAGUUUGAAAAUUGAUUGUGAUCAGAGAUAUCCAGAUGAUGCUCCCAAUGUAAGAUUUUUAAGCAGGAUCAAUAUGAAUUGUAUCAACAGUACUACUGGUGCAGUUGAUAAUCGCAAUGUACCAGUACUUGCAAAAUGGCAACGAGAAUACACAAUUAAGACAGUUCUGCAAGAACUUCGCCGCUUAAUGACAUUGAAGGAAAAUAUGAAAUUGUCUCAACCCCCAGAGGGUAGCACUUUUUAGCCUAACCACUAUGUAAACACUACACCUCUUCCUUUCUGCGGUAGCAUGGGGCGAGAUUCAAUGAAGUUAUAAAUUUAAUUUUUCG